UUGGGGCAGAUGGUGUUGGUGUAGAGGAGCUAAAGGAAGAAGAGAGUAAAGGAGAGGAGAGGCAGAUUAAAGGAGAGACAGAGAAAAGGAGAGACAGAGUAAAGGAGAGGAGAGACAGCGCUGGGGAUCGCGGAGGAAAUGAAACGGCGUCUGCAGAAGAAGUAUCUCCUCCUGAUCCUCGGCUAUUCCGUGGUUCUGCUCCUCAUCCCGUACGUGUUGGACCUUCACAGUAAAUCUGCUCAGGUGCGUCAUGGAGCUCCGGAGCCGCGCCGGCAGCAGCAGCAGCGGUGUCCGGACCUGGAGAAGAGCUUGACGCUGUGGAACUCCAGCGAGUCCGCGGAGGACAGCGGAGCAAACAGGAACCGCACCAAAACGCACAUCUAUCUCCACGCGACAUGGAGGACGGGAUCGUCUUUCCUGGGGGAGCUGUUUAACCAGCACCCGGAUGUGUUCUACCUGUACGAGCCGAUGUGGAACAUGUGGCAGGCGCUGUAUCCGGGGGACGCGGGGAGUCUGCAGGGCGCAGUGCGGGACAUGAUGAACUCUCUGUUCCGCUGCGACUUCUCUGUGCUCAGGCUGUACGCGGGCACCGCCAACAUCAGCACCUCGUUCAUUUUCGGCUGGAAGACUAACAAGGUGAUCUGCUCUCAGCCUCUGUGCGCGGCGUACAAAAAGUCCCAGGUGGGACUGGUGCAAGGAGACGAGUGCGCCAAGUGCGCGCCCAGAGACAUCCGAGAGCUGGAGAGGGAGUGCAAGAAAUAUCCCGUGGUGGUUAUUAAGGAUGUUAGAGUGUUAGACCUGGGAGUGCUGGUGCCCCUGGUGCGAGAUCCUACACUCAAUUUGCAGAUCAUUCAGCUCUUCAGGGAUCCCCGAGCCGUACACAACUCCAGGCUCAAGUCCAAGCAGGCACUGGUGCGAGAAAGCAUCCAGGUUCUCCGGAGCAAGAAGCAGAGUGACAAAUACAAGCGCCUGCUCUCACCUGGGAACCGUGUGAACCGCGCCGAGAGCUAUGUAGCCGGUGCCAUGGAGCUGAUCUGUGACUACUGGCUCGGGGAUAUGCUCCUGGUGAACGGCGCACCUCCGUGGCUUAAGCGCAACUACCUGCAGAUCCGCUAUGAGGACCUAGUGCUUCAUCCCAUCAACGAGCUGCACCGACUUUACCGCUUCGCCAACCUGAGCACGUCUCCAGAGCUGGAGAGGUUUGUGAUGAACAUGACGCGAGGGCAGGGAUACUCUUCAGACCGGCCCUUCCUCAUCUCAGCGAGGGACGCCAAGGAAGCCAUAUUUGCCUGGAGAGAGAGGCUGAGUGUGGAUCAGGUGGGGCAGGUGGAGGCUUCCUGCAGCGAGGUGAUGCGCCACCUGGGAUACGAGAAGAGGAACCUGGAGCAGAAGUAAGAGAGCGUACAGAUUCAGAAUAACACCCUGAAAUAUAAAUAAAAAAUCUAAACACGCUCCAACGUCUCUGAAGAUACAAGCAAUAAAACUAAAAAGGCUCUGGCCCAGAUGUGCCAUUUACAUCUGUAUACAGAGCCGUGACCCAGCUGUGAAAUGUGACAGAGUGACGUGACGUCUGUCACAGCAGGACGCGAGAGUCGGCGGUAAAGCUGGCAGGAGUGUAACCGCUUCUCUCACCCCGUCUCCAUGAAGCCUAAAGAGAGGAACGAGGAGAGUGAGAAAAGAGACCAGGCCAAAGUGAAGCUACAGUGAGAGACAGGAACACUGUCCUUCACCGAUCUGUGGAGGAUUGACACUAGGAACAGUUCCAGUCUAAGAGCAGAAGCUCCACAGCGGUGCCGGUCCGAGUCCGACACCAAGGAGACGAGAGGCUUCCGAGGACACUGACAAUAACAUGGAGGAGUUUAAACACUAACUAUGACGAGUGAAGCUGAGACGCCUGGGAGGUGACCGAGCUGGCCAUAUGUGUGUGUUGGCUGUCGGCCAUGUUUGACCAGCGACUAACGCUCCUCUUCCCGUCAUCAGCUGCAGGACAUAGAGCUCAGGGCUCUGGGGUUUAUUCUGUGUGUGUGUGUGUGUGUGUGUGUGUGUGUGUGUGUGCGUGUUGAGCCUGUGAUAUGAGUGCCAUUUCACACUUUAACUUUUACAAACACCAGGAAUCAAUGGUUGUUUACACCACAUUCUUUUUAGAAACCUCCUGAAAAGACAUGUUUAUAAACACUUAAUAAUGCAGCAUAAGCAUUCCAUUAAAUUCUGUGUACGAUUUGUGGCUGAGAACAAACCUCAGCACAAAUAUGUCGGACAAUCAUCUGAAUGUUCCGUAACACGAUACUUAUGAGCAGUGUUCAUAAGGUUAAGUCUCAUAAGCUUACAUAGACAUUUACGUGGCUUCAUAGAAAUUCGCAUCAUCUGUCCUGAUGAUGAUUCUGGCCAAAAUCUACAUAACACUGUUAGAACAGAAUUAUUACGGUCAUAUGUAUUUGUAUAAAUGUUAUAAGUAGAAACAUUACAGAGUGACUCAGAACAUACAGUAAAUAGCCCUGUCACGACAUGUCGUAGGCGCUCAUGAAAUACUGUGAGCAAAAAUAAAACUCUGCUUAAAAGGCUAGAAAAAAUUUACCUAAAUGUGUCAUGGUCAUAGGUAUUCAUAAAGAUGUUAUAAGCAGAAAUAUGAAAAUUAACUUUUAAUUAAUUAAAGUAUAAUUAAAGAGUCAGAGUCAUGUUAUGAUGCUGUCAUAGGUGUUCAUAAACUUAAAGACAGUAUGUGAAUAUUUACUUAAGGGCCAGAGAACAAAAAUACACAGGACUGUUAUAAUGGUGUUGUGACAUGAGCAUAGGAGUUCACAAAAGGCUUAUAAGCAAAACUUAUCCUAGCACCGUCAUAACAGUGUCAUGAAGUGGACAAAGGUGGUCGUAAAGGCAAUACUUUGUAAAUAAAUAAAUAAAUAAAUACAUUUAAUUAAAAUAUAUAUAGAAAAAAGCUCUAAUUCAUGAUCAUAGGCAGUGAUGGAAAUGUUAUAAAGCAAAUUAUGAGAGAUUGAUAAAAUCUAUAGCUGUGUUAUUACAUGUAACGACUUGUCAUAAGUCUUCAUAGUAUGAUCCUUGCUUUACUUAAAAAACACAUAGCUACUGUAUGUUAUUACAGUCUAAUUAUGAUGCUUUAGUGUCAUAAGAUAAGCUCAUGUCACACGAAGCAUGCCUUUAUAAACAGCUAUGUAGGUUUGUCAGCGGUCAUGUAGCUUUAUGAACACUGCUCUGUAAACAAGCGAGGUGUUACCGAACGUUUGAGUUACCAUGGUGACAGUAUUAAGAACAUCUCGUAUCAUGAACUAACACGAACUACGUCGAGUCGAAGAACUCGCUCUGAGAAAAAAAAGUUAUUUAUGAAAACAUUUUGUAAAUAAAGAGAGUUUUUUUUGUAAA
Tachysurus fulvidraco (yellow catfish) is the source of this 3378-nucleotide RNA transcript. It is a transcript of the gene named carbohydrate (N-acetylglucosamine 6-O) sulfotransferase 7, with no coding region annotated. Lineage: Eukaryota; Metazoa; Chordata; Actinopteri; Siluriformes; Bagridae. The record is from RefSeq and is a predicted model, not a curated record. The transcript has 3 exons.